Non-coding RNA from Triticum aestivum (bread wheat), 126 nucleotides. The record is from Rfam. Lineage: Eukaryota; Viridiplantae; Streptophyta; Magnoliopsida; Poales; Poaceae.
UACCUACUUCCUCCGUCCGAAAAAUCUUGUCCUUCAAAUGGAUGUAUCUAGCACCAAGUUAAUGCUAGAUAUAUCCAUUUAAGAGAUAAGUUUGGGACAAAUUUUUUCAGACGGAGGGAGUAGGAU